GCUCAGGAUGAACGCUAGCUACAGGCUUAACACAUGCAAGUCGAGGGGCAGCAUUUUAGUUUGCUUGCAAACUAAAGAUGGCGACCGGCGCACGGGUGAGUAACACGUAUCCAACCUGCCGAUAACUCGGGGAUAGCCUUUCGAAAGAAAGAUUAAUAUCCGAUAGUAUAUUAAAACCGCAUGGUUUUACUAUUAAAGAAUUUCGGUUAUCGAUGGGGAUGCGUUCCAUUAGUUUGUUGGCGGGGUAACGGCCCACCAAGACUACGAUGGAUAGGGGUUCUGAGAGGAAGGUCCCCCACAUUGGAACUGAGACACGGUCCAAACUCCUACGGGAGGCAGCAGUGAGGAAUAUUGGUCAAUGGACGAGAGUCUGAACCAGCCAAGUAGCGUGAAGGAUGACUGCCCUAUGGGUUGUAAACUUCUUUUAUAUGGGAAUAAAGUAUUCCACGUGUGGAAUUUUGUAUGUACCAUAUGAAUAAGGAUCGGCUAACUCCGUGCCAGCAGCCGCGGUAAUACGGAGGAUCCGAGCGUUAUCCGGAUUUAUUGGGUUUAAAGGGAGCGUAGGUGGAUUGUUAAGUCAGUUGUGAAAGUUUGCGGCUCAACCGUAAAAUUGCAGUUGAAACUGGCAGUCUUGAGUACAGUAGAGGUGGGCGGAAUUCGUGGUGUAGCGGUGAAAUGCUUAGAUAUCACGAAGAACUCCGAUUGCGAAGGCAGCUCACUAGACUGCAACUGACACUGAUGCUCGAAAGUGUGGGUAUCAAACAGGAUUAGAUACCCUGGUAGUCCACACAGUAAACGAUGAAUACUCGCUGUUUGCGAUAUACAGUAAGCGGCCAAGCGAAAGCAUUAAGUAUUCCACCUGGGGAGUACGCCGGCAACGGUGAAACUCAAAGGAAUUGACGGGGGCCCGCACAAGCGGAGGAACAUGUGGUUUAAUUCGAUGAUACGCGAGGAACCUUACCCGGGCUUAAAUUGCAUUUGAAUAAUCUGGAAACAGGUUAGCCGCAAGGCAAAUGUGAAGGUGCUGCAUGGUUGUCGUCAGCUCGUGCCGUGAGGUGUCGGCUUAAGUGCCAUAACGAGCGCAACCCUUAUCUUUAGUUACUAACAGGUCAUGCUGAGGACUCUAGAGAGACUGCCGUCGUAAGAUGUGAGGAAGGUGGGGAUGACGUCAAAUCAGCACGGCCCUUACGUCCGGGGCUACACACGUGUUACAAUGGGGGGUACAGAAGGCAGCUACCUGGUGACAGGAUGCUAAUCCCAAAAACCUCUCUCAGUUCGGAUCGAAGUCUGCAACCCGACUUCGUGAAGCUGGAUUCGCUAGUAAUCGCGCAUCAGCCAUGGCGCGGUGAAUACGUUCCCGGGCCUUGUACACACCGCCCGUCAAGCCAUGAAAGCCGGGGGUACCUGAAGUACGUAACCGCAAGGAGCGUCCUAGGGUAAAACUGGUA
Molecule: ribosomal RNA, 1448 nt
Filed under: uncultured organism
Description: SSU rRNA
Rfam family: Bacterial small subunit ribosomal RNA
Source: RNAcentral